GAGAACCAAUUCAUAACCUUGUACUUCCCAUGCAUGUAACUGUAACAACCAAAUGUUCUGACAACAUGAUAUUGUGUAUCGAUGAAAAUAACUACACAUGCACGCACAAACUGAUAUGUACAGCACUUGGCCGAUGGGGCCACCAUGUCUAAAAUCAGGACACUACCGUAACUUUACAUUAGUCUACAAAGCCUCUAAAAGAUACAUAGACUUAGUUAGGGUCGGGACAACCCCC
RNAcentral lists this long non-coding RNA (235 nucleotides) under Capsicum annuum. RNAcentral describes it as "long non-coding RNA (CANN_LNC001878)". Lineage: Eukaryota; Viridiplantae; Streptophyta; Magnoliopsida; Solanales; Solanaceae. The record is from RNAcentral.